UACAGAGGGUGCAAGCGUUAAUCGGAGUUACUGGGCGUAAAGGGCGCGUAGGCGGUUAUGAGAGUGUGAUGUGAAAGCCCUGGGCUUAACCUAGGAAGUGCAUCGCAAACGCCAUAACUGGAGUAUAAGAGAGGGUGAUGGAAUUUCCGGUGUAGCGGUGAAAUGCGUAGAGAUCGGAAGGAACGUCAAUGGCGAAGGCAGUCACCUGGCUUAAUACUGACGCUGAGGCGCGAAAGCGUGGGGAUCAAACAGG
RNAcentral lists this ribosomal RNA (253 nucleotides) under uncultured prokaryote. RNAcentral describes it as "partial 16S ribosomal RNA". It matches the Rfam family "Bacterial small subunit ribosomal RNA", at positions 524 to 776 of the family's 1533-position model. The record is from RNAcentral.